AUUGAACGCUGGCGGCAUGCCUUACACAUGCAAGUCGAACGGCAGCACGGGUGCUUGCACCUGGUGGCGAGUGGCGAACGGGUGAGUAAUACAUCGGAACAUGUCCUGUAGGGGGGGAUAGCCCGGCGAAAGCCGGAUUAAUACCGCAUACGAUCUACGGAUGAAAGCGGGGGACCUUCGGGCCUCGCGCUGUAGGGUUGGCCGAUGGCUGAUUAGCUAGUUGGUGGGGUAAAGGCCUACCAAGGCGACGAUCAGUAGCUGGUCUGAGAGGACGACCAGCCACACUGGGACUGAGACAAGGCCCAGACUCCUACGGGAGGCAGCAGUGGGGAAUUUUGGACAAUGGGCGAAAGCCUGAUCCAGCAAUGCCGCGUGUGUGAAGAAGGCCUUCGGGUUGUAAAGCACUUUUGUCCGGAAAGAAAUCCUUGGCUCUAAUAAAGUCGGGGGAUGACGGUACCGGAAGAAUAAGCACCGGCUAACUACGUG
RNAcentral lists this ribosomal RNA (486 nucleotides) under uncultured bacterium. RNAcentral describes it as "partial 16S ribosomal RNA". It matches the Rfam family "Bacterial small subunit ribosomal RNA", at positions 30 to 507 of the family's 1533-position model. The record is from RNAcentral.